AUUGAACGCUGGCGGCAUGCUUUACACAUGCAAGUCGAACGGCAGCGCGGGGCAACCUGGCGGCGAGUGGCGAACGGGUGAGUAAUAUAUCGGAACGUACCCAAGAGUGGGGGAUAACGUAGCGAAAGUUACGCUAAUACCGCAUACGAUCUAUGGAUGAAAGCAGGGGACCGCAAGGCCUUGUGCUCCUGGAGCGGCCGAUAUCUGAUUAGCUAGUUGGUAGGGUAAAGGCCUACCAAGGCUACGAUCAGUAGCUGGUCUGAGAGUACGACCAGCCACACUGGAACUGAGACACGGUCCAGACUCCUACGGGAGGCAGCAGUGGGGAAUUUUGGACAAUGGGCGCAAGCCUGAUCCAGCAAUGCCGCGUGAGUGAAGAAGG
Molecule: ribosomal RNA, 382 nt
Filed under: uncultured bacterium
Lineage: Bacteria
Description: bacterial SSU rRNA
Rfam family: Bacterial small subunit ribosomal RNA
Source: RNAcentral